AUGGCUCAGGAUGAACGCUGGCGGCGUGCUUAACACAUGCAAGUCGAACGAAGCAUUCCGUAACCCUUCGGGGGAGGGAAUGACUGAGUGGCGGACGGGUGAGUAACGCGUGGGUAACCUGCCUUAUACAGGGGGAUAACAGUUAGAAAUGACUGCCAAUACCGCAUAACCCGCUAGUACCGCAUGGUACGGACGGAAAAGAUUUAUCGGUAUAAGAUGGACCCGCGUCUGAUUAGCUAGUUGGUGAGGUAAAGGCCCACCAAGGCGACGAUCAGUAGCCGGCUUGAGAGAGUGAACGGCCACAUUGGGACUGAGACACGGCCCAAACUCCUACGGGAGGCAGCAGUGGGGAAUAUUGCACAAUGGGGGGAAAAACCCCCUGAUGCAGCAACGCCGCGUGAAGGAAGAAGUAUUUCGGUAUGUAAACUUCUAUCAGCAAGAAAGAAAAUGACGGUACCUGACUAAGAAGCCCCGGCUAACUACGUGCCAGCCGCCGC
Molecule: ribosomal RNA, 497 nt
Filed under: uncultured bacterium
Lineage: Bacteria
Description: bacterial SSU rRNA
Rfam family: Bacterial small subunit ribosomal RNA
Source: RNAcentral